This 301-nucleotide ribosomal RNA is filed under the name uncultured bacterium. RNAcentral describes it as "partial 16S ribosomal RNA". It matches the Rfam family "Bacterial small subunit ribosomal RNA", at positions 509 to 809 of the family's 1533-position model. The record is from RNAcentral.
CAGCAGCCGCGGUAAUACAGAGGGUGCGAGCGUUAAUCGGAUUUACUGGGCGUAAAGCGUGCGUAGGCGGCUUCUUAAGUCGGAUGUGAAAUCCCUGAGCUUAACUUAGGAAUUGCAUUCGAUACUGGGAAGCUAGAGUAUGGGAGAGGAUGGUAGAAUUCCAGGUGUAGCGGUGAAAUGCGUAGAGAUCUGGAGGAAUACCGAUGGCGAAGGCAGCCAUCUGGCCUAAUACUGACGCUGAGGUACGAAAGCAUGGGGAGCAAACAGGAUUAGAUACCCCCGUAGUCCAUGUCUCUUAUAA